This 921-nucleotide ribosomal RNA is filed under the name Ramularia endophylla. RNAcentral's name for it is "LSU rRNA". It matches the Rfam family "Eukaryotic large subunit ribosomal RNA", at positions 23 to 975 of the family's 3401-position model. The record is from RNAcentral. Lineage: Eukaryota; Fungi; Ascomycota; Dothideomycetes; Mycosphaerellales; Mycosphaerellaceae.
ACCCGCUGAACUUAAGCAUAUCAAUAAGCGGAGGAAAAGAAACCAACAGGGAUUGCCCUAGUAGCGGCGAGUGAAGCGGCAACAGCUCAAAUUUGAAAUCUGGCGCAAGCCCGAGUUGUAAUUUGUAGAGGAUGCUUCUAGGUAGCGACCGGUCUAAGUUCCUUGGAACAGGACGUCAUAGAGGGUGAGAAUCCCGUAUGUGACUGGCCCGCACCUUCUACGUAGCUCCUUCGACGAGUCGAGUUGUUUGGGAAUGCAGCUCUAAAUGGGAGGUAAAUUUCUUCUAAAGCUAAAUACCGGCCAGAGACCGAUAGCGCACAAGUAGAGUGAUCGAAAGAUGAAAAGCACUUUGGAAAGAGAGUUAAAAAGCACGUGAAAUUGUUGAAAGGGAAGCGCUCACAACCAGACUUCUAGGCAGUGUUCCGCCGGUCUUUUGACCGGUCUACUCUCUGUCUCGAGGCCAACAUCAUCUGGGACCGCCGGAUAAGACCUUAGGAAUGUAGCUCCCCUCGGGGAGUGUUAUAGCCUCUGGUGAUGCGGCGCGUCUCGGGUGAGGUCCGCGCUUCGGCAAGGAUGUUGGCGUAAUGGUUGUCAGCGGCCCGUCUUGAAACACGGACCAAGGAGUCUAACAUCUAUGCGAGUGUUCGGGUGUCAAACCCCUACGCGUAAUGAAAGUGAACGGAGGUGGGAAGCGUAAGCUGCACCAUCGACCGAUCCUGAUGUCCUCGGAUGGAUUUGAGUAAGAGCAUAGCUGUUGGGACCCGAAAGAUGGUGAACUAUGCCUGAAUAGGGUGAAGCCAGAGGAAACUCUGGUGGAGGCUCGCAGCGGUUCUGACGUGCAAAUCGAUCGUCAAAUUUGGGUAUAGGGGCGAAAGACUAAUCGAACCAUCUAGUAGCUGGUUCCUGCCGAAGUUUCCCUCA